ACUGAGGUGUUUUUGCAUUUUAUUUUUAGCACUUUCUUUUAUAAAUAUUGUGACUUUAAGUUACUUUAAGUUUGCAUACAGAUCUUAAAUGGCUUUUGAAACUAAGCUGAGAAAAUGAAUUUGUGACACAAAAAGGCUCAUCACCAUGGACAGAGAGGCUUCAAGGGAGCAGAAGCAGCACCCACUCAUUUCAAGAAGCUGUCUCUGUUCCUGAUGGUGUCGAGUGAAGGAAAAGGAGAGUACUGCUCUGCAGGGAGUUAGUGCUGGUCUUGUCAUAUGCACAGAGCUCAAGGGUUCACCAGCAAAACCACAGGGAAUGCCAGGGUGAGGUGAAGUGGGAGCGCAGGAGGAAAGUUGUUGACUCCUUGACUCUGAACUGCCAACUUCAAACCAUUGCUGAGCUAGAGAACACUGGAUGUAUAUGGAAUAAAAAAAAUGUCAUUUCAAGUUUCAGCCUUCAAUUAAAGGUCCACAUCGCUCCUGGAAAUACACUGCUGAGGUAUUCAGCAAAAAGCAGAGCAUCCAACCUAAUUCUUCUCUCCUCUGAAUGUUUCUGUUCUCUUAUGCUGCCUAAAUACAUUCAUACAACCUUACUCAAAUCUACCUCUACUGUGGCUCCCAGCUGCUUGCUUACAGCUGGUUUGCUGGUGAACUGAGACUUGCCCUUGUACAUAAGGACCAAAGGUGUAUGUG
RNAcentral lists this long non-coding RNA (693 nucleotides) under Gallus gallus (chicken). Its description in RNAcentral is "lncRNA (ENSGALG00010014108.1)". The record is from RNAcentral. Lineage: Eukaryota; Metazoa; Chordata; Aves; Galliformes; Phasianidae.